CCUACGGGAGGCUGCAGUGAGGAAUAUUGGUCAAUGGGCGAAAGCCUGAACCAGCCAAGUCGUGUGAGGGAUGACGGUCCUAUGGAUUGUAAACCUCUUUUGUCGGGGAGCAAGGCCCGCCACGUGUGGCGGGAAGGAGAGUACCCGAAGAAAAAGCAUCGGCUAACUCCGUGCCAGCAGCCGCGGUAAUACGGAGGAUGCGAGCGUUAGCCGGAUUUAUUGGGUUUAAAGGGUGCGUAGGCGGAAGGUUAAGUCAGCGGUAAAAUGUCGGUGCUCAACACCGGCCUGCCGUUGAAACUGGUCUUCUUGAGUGAGCGAGAAGUAUGCGGAAUGCGUGGUGUAGCGGUGAAAUGCAUAGAUAUCACGCAGAACUCCGAUUGCGAAGGCAGCAUACCGGCGCUCAACUGACGCUGAGGCACGAAAGCGUGGGGAUCGAACAGGAUUAGAUACCCGGGUAGUC
RNAcentral lists this ribosomal RNA (460 nucleotides) under uncultured bacterium. Its description in RNAcentral is "partial 16S ribosomal RNA". It matches the Rfam family "Bacterial small subunit ribosomal RNA", at positions 338 to 795 of the family's 1533-position model. The record is from RNAcentral.